RNAcentral lists this transfer RNA (68 nucleotides) under Galerucinae sp. 1 ACP-2013. RNAcentral's name for it is "tRNA-Gln". The record is from RNAcentral. Lineage: Eukaryota; Metazoa; Arthropoda; Insecta; Coleoptera; Chrysomelidae.
ACAUUUUAAUAUAGGAGGUAUAUUAAUUUUUGAUAUUAAAGGGGAUAGUUUAAUUCUAUCAAAUGUAU